GCUUGAGUUAAUCGUACACAGCGAAGCUUUGGUGUCGACUUGUUUACUGCCUGGUCGUAAAAGUAAAAAUGUGCCAGUCUGGCAUGUUAAAGAGUGCCUCUUUAUGUGUGCUGCUUGUGUGCUUGCGUGUGUUGGAUUAUACUCGCUGAAAAGGGAGUGAAAAUUUAUACCUGAAUUACAUUUUGUUUCUACACUCUGUUCAAUAUUAGCUACAUUCUCAGCGAACACAACCCGACUUUAUGAGAACAUCAGAAGCAAACAAGACUCGGCAAGUUAGUCUUGUUCACUCAGACCAUAACUAAACACUUUCUCCUGGUCCGGGCUGCGGUGGAUCUGGAGCUUUUCCCAGGGACACUGGGCACAAGGCUUUAAGACCUCAAAUGGCGUUCCACAUCUGGCUGCCACGCUUCCUCACUACAUCAAAGACUGUAAGACACAGAACACAAAGACGGCUUGUUAGCGCCACUCCUCCCAAAUGAGCAAAGUCCAAGAGCAAAUCAGCCUGGAUCACCCCAGGGUUCAAAACCUCCAAAUCAACCCGGAUGUAUCAGAUCAGCCCAAGUCAGCUCUGAUCACUGCAGGCUUUAACAAACUCUGAGCAGGAGGAAUCCCAGAAGACUCUAGUUCUUCCCCAAUUGUUCUAAUCCACAGCAUUCCAGGUACUCCUAGUACUCCAGUUUAUCACAACUCAUCCAGAAUCACUCUAGACUUCCCUAAUCUGUGGAUCUCACUCUUGAUUACUCUGAAUCAAACUUAAGGUCACCCCAAAGAUCCCAAGCCUGCAACACACAAAAUGAUUAAAGCUCAUGGAAUUGUAUAAUCCCCUAAAUCAUGGAGCUGGCGGACUGUAGUCUAGAUGCAGAACCAGAUUUCACAGAGCACUUGAAAAAUACUGUAGCAGAUCUGUUGCAGAUUAUCCAAUCACAUGCAUUACGUAAAUUAUUUAGCUGAAGGCCACACAUCAGACCACAGAAAACUAAAGAGCUCCAGAGUUGCCAGAGUCAUGUGCUUUUUUCUUUUUUUUUUCACCAAAUUGGGCUAAUUUUGGAACAAUGUCACAGAUGGAAAAAGCAAAUCCAUGGCUGGUGUUUAAAAUAACAUCAUCUUGUUUUAAAGCAAAUAAUCAGAAUGAUAUCUAAUCAAUUUCUGCAAACAAAUGUUAUGGCAGACAAACUGAAAGUGAAGCGCAGACAUCAUCAAUGUUGUACAAUACUAUUUAUUUAUUUUUACAUCUGGAUAUAUUACAAAGUUUGCCAGAUGGAUAGAGGGAUUAUGUAGUGGGUAACUAUCAUUUUAGAAAAUGAUUAAAAAGGUGUAUUGCAGAUACUGUGAAGCUGUUCACACCAUGGUGACCACAUAUCUCGUGCAAAAACUGAGAAAAAGACGAAGCAUGUUUCUCCUUUUCCCAAUGGCUAAACUUCCUGGGCUAUGCUAAGGUCAGAUUAUACUGAGACCUGGCAACCCUGAAGAGGUCAGUAGAAGAACAGAAUACUUAAAAGAAGACAGAGAUGUUCCUGCUUCAAGCUGAAAACAAAUGAGUAGGUGAGGAGAGGUGUUGAUCAGGAGAAAGCAGGAGGUGUUUUUCCCUUUAAUUCGGGCAAUCAGAUAUGACCCUUGUGGGACAAGUAACCCUUCUGUGAAACCUGAUCCUAAAUCAUUGUCGCCAUGGAGGUCCAGACUGUGGAUGUGCAGGAACUCCCCAAUGUGUCUGUAUUAGUGUACUGUGUUGUUUCUGGCUGAUGAAUAUGACUCCUGUCUCUGAGUUUCACUUCUCCUCCAGCCUGCCAGCACUUCUCUGGGGCAUGACGUAAGGCUAUUCAUCACCACUUUUCGAGACACCACUUUAUACUGGCUCAGGUCAUUUAUCAUCGGUAGCAACGGAGGGUAAAACAGGCAACAAAUAGAUCAUAACAUCUGUAGAAAGAUGUAUAUAAACAUAUGUCUCUGACUGACUGAUUCUCCUAAGAAUAUAGAGAAAGCUCUGUUUUCAUUGAAAACAGGAAUUUAUGAAUAAUUGAAGAAGCAGAGUUACUGUUACUAUAAUGUUGAUUAUUUUCCCAUAACAGCUGAUCUGCAUGUUUUUUUAUUCCUCUUUUACCACAGCAAUUUGUCAGUGAUUAUUAUUUUAACUAAAUAAAGAAUAGUGUACUUUGUUACACACUUAUGGUUUUGUUUAAUGUCGUUGAAUGUCUAUGAAACAAGCUAGUUCUUGUUUUCACUUAUUAUUAUCCAAAUCAGAAUCCAGAAAUGAAACACACAUCUGUACAAUGAACACUCGUGGAAAGAAGUUAUAUGCAUCACCGUCAAGGGCGGAAUUGUUGCUUCAUUUCCUGUUCACACAGAUUUCACUAUAACAGGUCUCGAUCCCUGGUG
This is a long non-coding RNA of Hemibagrus wyckioides, 2373 nucleotides long. RefSeq lists it as uncharacterized. The record is from RefSeq and is a predicted model, not a curated record. NCBI's taxonomy places the organism in Eukaryota, Metazoa, Chordata, Actinopteri, Siluriformes, Bagridae. The transcript has 3 exons.